This is an RNA transcript of Populus trichocarpa (black cottonwood), 2540 nucleotides long. It is a transcript of the gene named probable magnesium transporter NIPA3, with no coding region annotated. NCBI's taxonomy places the organism in Eukaryota, Viridiplantae, Streptophyta, Magnoliopsida, Malpighiales, Salicaceae. The transcript is spliced from 10 exons. The record is from RefSeq and is a predicted model, not a curated record.
UAUUUUUAAAUAAUAUGAUAUGUUGAUGUAAAAAAAUAAAAAUAAAAGAACUGAAACGGCAACCAAAAAAAAAUCUGAAAGAAAUAUCGAAGCCACUCUUUUGACGAUCACUGAGAUUCAUUUCGAUCGAUUCUUCCCUAAAAUCUUCCUCUUUUUGAGUUUUUACAAGUGCUCUGGUAAUAUGUGAAUUCUGCUUUCCCUCUCCCGUUGAAUGAACUAACAAAGGGGCUGCACUCGUCUCCCGAGCCAGAGAGCAAGACAAAAUUAGAGGCCUGAAAAAGAUCUCCGUAGUCCAGAAGUUGCUCCUGGGCUCCUACCCAUCUCUCAGUCUCGCUAAAGGAAGCGUGCACUGGUGGUCGAUAGAAGCUGAAAAAAAGUAAAGAAAGGGAUAAAAGAAAACUAAGUUCGGCUUUCGUCUCUUGUUCAACAAGAACAAUACCUAUCAGAUCGAUCUAAGUCUUACAAACAAAUAAAAAAAACAUCUUAACUACGUUAAACUCACAAAUCCCAAUACUCUUUGGUGUUCCUUUCUCUCUCUCAUUCUUCAUGCACAUUUGCGUUGCACAAUCCGAUUUGGAUAAGAUUAAUAUAAAGAAGACGACUUGAUGAAUGAUGUGGAAUGGAAACAGUGAGUUUUGAGGUGAGACAUUGUCGUCGUCGUCGUCGUCGUCGUUUUGGUGUUGGUGGUGAAGGGAUUGUAAAGUUAUGGCGGAAACAGAGAUAGGAAUGUCAACAGAUAACAUAAAGGGAUUGGUGUUGGCAUUGUCUUCGAGUUUAUUUAUAGGAGCCAGUUUUAUUGUUAAGAAAAAAGGGUUGAAGAAAGCUGGUGCUUCUGGUAUUAGGGCAGGUGCUGGGGGUUAUACUUACCUGUUUGAACCACUUUGGUGGAUUGGCAUGAUAACAAUGAUUGCUGGGGAAAUUGCUAAUUUUGCAGCCUAUGCAUUUGCACCAGCUAUUCUAGUCACUCCUCUUGGUGCACUCAGUAUCAUUAUCAGUGCUGCUCUUGCACAUGCUAUUUUACAGGAAAAGUUGCACACUUUUGGGAUUCUUGGUUGUGCUCUUUGUGUUGUGGGUUCAACGACAAUUGUUUUGCAUGCACCUCAAGAACGUGAGAUUGAGUCCGUGAAGGAAGUGUGGGACCUUGCAACAGAGCCAGCUUUUCUCUUGUAUGCUGCUAUUGUCAUAACAGCUGCUGUUGUGAUUAUCAUCCGUGUUAUACCCCAUUAUGGGCAGACUCAUGUUAUGGUCUAUAUUUCAAUUUGUUCGCUCAUGGGCUCACUAUCGGUUAUGAGUGUCAAAGCACUUGGAAUCGCUUUGAAGCUGACUUUCUCGGGAAUGAAUCAGUUACUACACCCCCAAACAUGGGCUUUUACCUUGAUUGUACUUGCCUGUGUAAUCACUCAAAUCAAUUACUUAAACAAGGCUCUUGAUACAUUCAAUGCAGCUGUUGUAUCUCCCAUAUACUAUGUGAUGUUUACUUCAUUAACAAUUUUGGCUAGCGUAAUCAUGUUUAAGGAUUGGGAUGGAAAGAACGCAUCUCAAAUUGUCACUGAAAUAUGUGGAUUUGUGACGAUCCUUUCUGGGACUUUUCUUCUUCAUGAAACGAAGGACAUGGUUGAAGGGUCAUCACAAUCUUCAUCAUUGCGCCUUCCUAAGCAUGAAGAAGAAGAUGAAGGACUUGACCCCGAAGGAAUCCCUCUACGACAAGUAGACACUCUGAGACCAAAAUAGUUGUAUUCUUUGAUUCUUUUUGUUACUGUCAUUCAAGAUCUUGGGUGCUGAUUUGGGGCAGAAAGGGAAUUCCAGCCACAGACCUGUGUCUUAUCAACACACUGGGCGGGUUCUUUAUUUUCUUUGAGUAAACAAUGGGCGAAGAUGGCAAGACUUCUUUCUCAGAUAAAAAAAGGAGAUGGUCUCUUUCAGCUGCCGCCAUAUAGCGACCUUCAAGUUGACCUCAAGUGUGGGUAGCGAGCAUCUCAACAAAGAAUUGAAGGUUAUGCUUAGUAUAUGCAGGAUACAGAGUGUUUUGUACUAGAAAGUUCUAUGUUUCACAUAAAUUAUUGUCCAAGUUGCUUUAGAUUAACUCAUGAUUUAACUUUCAAUUGCUAUCAUGCAACCACUAAAGGAGUGGACUUGGACUUGCUCAUUUUAGACCUCCAGGAUUCUUAUUUUUGUAUAGCUUGCUGUGUCAGGUGAGCUCUAUAUAUGGAAAAAAGACAGUAUUUGGCUGGCUUAGUGGAGCUGUGACAUUUGAAAUGCAAAUUUCCCAAUCAGAGAAUGUUGCCAUGCAAUCUCUUUCAAAGCUCUCGAGUCAGCACCACAAACGUUGCCAAAUGGGCUUUGAAGAAGCCAACUCCUGCUACCAAGCCGGCGGUGGAUGAGAUCUCCUUGGCAUGCUUCUGCUGCCUUUUAUUUUCUAUUCCUUGGAAAACAUUAGAGUAAACCAACUAUAAUCUCGUCAACAUAAAAUUAAUAGAUACUGAUGGCUCUUUAAAGCUGUAUAAAACUCUUGAAAGAAAUAAAAAAUCAUUUCAGUAUAA